GCGGGAGUAGCUCAGGGGUAGAGCACAACCUUGCCAAGGUUGGGGUCGCGAGUUCGAAUCUCGUUUCCCGCUCCA
This 75-nucleotide transfer RNA is filed under the name Campylobacter coli. RNAcentral's name for it is "tRNA-Gly". It matches the Rfam family "tRNA". Rfam says of the family: Transfer RNA (tRNA) molecules are approximately 80 nucleotides in length. Their secondary structure includes four short double-helical elements and three loops (D, anti-codon, and T loops). Further hydrogen bonds mediate the characteristic L-shaped molecular structure. tRNAs have two regions of fundamental functional importance: the anti-codon, which is responsible for specific mRNA codon recognition, and the 3' end, to which the tRNAs corresponding amino acid is attached (by aminoacyl-tRNA synthetases). tRNAs cope with the degeneracy of the genetic code in two manners: having more than one tRNA (with a specific anti-codon) for a particular amino acid; and 'wobble' base-pairing, i.e. permitting non-standard base-pairing at the 3rd anti-codon position. Lineage: Bacteria; Pseudomonadati; Campylobacterota; Epsilonproteobacteria; Campylobacterales; Campylobacteraceae. RNAcentral also lists the same sequence under 1 other name. The record is from RNAcentral.